Molecule: ribosomal RNA, 869 nt
Filed under: uncultured Neocallimastigales
Lineage: Eukaryota; Fungi; Neocallimastigomycota; Neocallimastigomycetes; Neocallimastigales
Description: partial large subunit ribosomal RNA
Rfam family: Eukaryotic large subunit ribosomal RNA
Source: RNAcentral
CGCAUCUGUGCAUGCAGCAUAUCAAUAAGCGGAGGAAAAGGGAAUCGGUCGCCCCAGUACCUACGCUUAGGAUGUUGAAGAUGUAGCACAUCAUACACGCAUGACACACUGCAUAUCAAUAAGCGGAGGAAAAGAAACUAACAAGGAUUCCCCUAGUAACGACGAGUGAAGCGGGAAGAGCUCAAAUUUGAAAUCUUAAAGGGUUUCCCUUUACGAAUUGUAGUUUAAAGAAGUGUUUUCUGUUGAGGUUUUGGUAAAAGUUCUUUGGAAUAGGACAUCAUAGAGGGUGAGAAUCCCGUAUUUGACCUUUACUUUCAACUUUGUGAUACACUUUCAAAGAGUCGGAUUGUUUGGGAAUGCAGUCCAAAAUGGGUGGUAAAUUUCAUCUAAAGCUAAAUAUUGGCGAGAGACCGAUAGCGAACAAGUACCGUGAGGGAAAGAUGAAAAGAACUUUGAAAAGAGAGUUAAACAGUACGUGAAAUUGUCAAAAGGGAAGCGUUUGACACCAGUGUUGUUUUUCUGAAAAUCAAUUAAAGAACUGUUUAUGCUAAGUUGUUUAGACUUUAUCAGCUAAUCUGCUUAGUUUUGAGCUUUUCUUUAAUGCACUUUUCAGUUAACAAGUCAACAUCAAUUUCUUUUGCUGUAAAAAAGCUUGAGGAAGGUGGCUUGAGAUUCGUCUUAUGUGUUUAUAGCCUCUUGCCUAUGCAGUCGGAGAGAUUGAGGUCUGCAGCGUAGAUCCUUCGGGGCUAAAUGCAUUUGUGCUAAGUUAUAGCAUUUUAUAGACAACUUGUUGACUAUGAUUUGUCUCGUAGCUUACUCGCUUAUGUUAUUUUACCUACGCUUAGGAUGUUGAAGAUGUAGCACAUCAU